Molecule: ribosomal RNA, 518 nt
Filed under: Boophis quasiboehmei
Lineage: Eukaryota; Metazoa; Chordata; Amphibia; Anura; Mantellidae
Description: partial 16S ribosomal RNA
Rfam family: Bacterial large subunit ribosomal RNA (bases 1-412)
Source: RNAcentral
UUUUAGUUUGCCUUCCCGAAACUAAGUGAGCUACUUUAAAGCAGCUAUUAGAGCUAACCCGUCUCUGUCGCAAAAGAGUGGGGUGACUUUAAAGUAGAGGUGAUAGACCUACCGAACUUAGAGAUAGCUGGUUUUUUAAGAAAAGAAUUUUAGUUCAGCCCCAAGCCUUUCGUUAAGCAAAAAACCUUCUUAGGCCUGGGAGUCAUUCAUAUAGGGCACAGCCUAUUUGAAACAGGAUACAACCUAGAAUAUAGGGUAAAACAAUGUGAUUUUUCUAUAAGUGGGCUUGAAAGCAGCCACCUUUCAAAAAGCGUUGUAGCUUAUUGAUACUGAUUAUUUAAUAACCUCAAAAAUGUUUAACCCACACACACUAUUAAACUAUCCCAUAAAUUUAUGGGAGCUAUCAUGCUAGAACAAGUAACAAGAAAAAGAUUUUUCUCCAAAAUACAAGCUUUAGCCGCUACAGACAAACUACCGGCAAUUAACGCCUUUUAACUAAUUUAGUAACUCUAACAAGA